Molecule: long non-coding RNA, 506 nt
Filed under: Ananas comosus (pineapple)
Lineage: Eukaryota; Viridiplantae; Streptophyta; Magnoliopsida; Poales; Bromeliaceae
Description: long non-coding RNA (ACOM_LNC011515)
Source: RNAcentral
UAUAUAUAUAUAUAAUAUAUAUAUUUGGAAUAAUUAUUUAUAUGCCUUUUAAAAUUUUAAAAAUAUCUUAUUAAUUUUUACUUUCUUUUCUUUUCAAUAUACUUAUUAUAUAUGUUCAUUCGUUAUUUCAAAAUAUUCUUUGAGUUAAACACGAGUUAAAUAUUAAAUAUCUAUCAUAGUUAAAAAAAAUUAAAAUGUCAUUUUUAUUCUUAACUUCAGGGCAAAUAAAAAAUAUUGUUGAUGUAGAAAGAUAUAUUUGAAAAGAUGAAAAAGUAAAAUAUUUUUUGUGUCCCUAACUUAAGAACAAAUAAAAAAGUCAGUGCUGAUAAAAGAAUAUAUUUAAAAGAGUAAAACAGUAAUUUCAUAAAAAUAACAAACUUCAUUAACAAUUUUAAUUUAUUAGGAGUAUAUUUAAAAUAUAUUGGAACGUAAAAAAAAUAUUUUUAAUAUUAGUAUUUUAAAAAAUAAAUUAAAAGUUGAAAAUUUUUUAAGAGUACCUAAGCAAU